AUGGAUUCUUUAUCUGUUGUUUUGGUGGAAAUUUUGAUCUCGGCCACCACAGGAGCUCUCCUCCACGCCCUCGUGGGGCGGCCAUGCUGCUCUGAUUCCGAGCUCCCCACAUCGUUGCAUGGCCUGUGCCAGGUCCAAGAUGGAGAAGGACGCCAGAGCCAGCCUCAUGCACCCCUGUGUCUGUGUGCGCACAAAGAUUGGUUGCAGGAGUACAAUGAGAAAUAUAAGAUUUUCUCUACAAAGCCAGCAUUGGAUGCUGGCAAAAUUGAAGAAAAACUCUCCAGGAAAUUGAAUAAAUAG
This 300-nucleotide ribosomal RNA is filed under the name Triticum aestivum (bread wheat). RNAcentral describes it as "partial small subunit ribosomal RNA". The record is from RNAcentral. Lineage: Eukaryota; Viridiplantae; Streptophyta; Magnoliopsida; Poales; Poaceae.